Molecule: ribosomal RNA, 244 nt
Filed under: uncultured Staphylococcus sp.
Lineage: Bacteria; Bacillati; Bacillota; Bacilli; Caryophanales; Staphylococcaceae
Description: partial 16S ribosomal RNA
Rfam family: Bacterial small subunit ribosomal RNA
Source: RNAcentral
CGGCGGACGGGUGAGUAACACGUGGAUAACCUACCUAUAAGACUGGGAUAACUUCGGGAAACCGGAGCUAAUACCGGAUAAUAUAUUGAACCGCAUGGUUCAAUAGUGAAAGACGGUUUUGCUGUCACUUAUAGAUGGAUCCGCGCCGCAUUAGCUAGUUGGUAAGGUAACGGCUUACCAAGGCAACGAUGCGUAGCCGACCUGAGAGGGUUAUCGGCCACACUGGAACUGAGACACGGUCCAG